AGUAGAAUUGCUGAGUCAUAUGGCAAGUGUGUUUGGAACCUUUAAGGGAAAUACCAAACUCUUCUCCAAAAAGACUUUGUCACUUUGCAUCCCUACCAGCCAU
This 103-nucleotide microRNA precursor is filed under the name Marmota monax (woodchuck). Lineage: Eukaryota; Metazoa; Chordata; Mammalia; Rodentia; Sciuridae. The record is from RNAcentral.